CCUACGGGAGGCUGCAGUGAGGAAUAUUGGUCAAUGGGCUUACGCCUGAACCAGCCAAGUCGCGUGAGGGAAGACUGCCCUAUGGGUUGUAAACCUCUUUUGUCAGGGAGCAACGCCGGCUACGUGUAGCCGGACUGAGAGUACCUGAAGAAAAAGCAUCGGCUAACUCCGUGCCAGCAGCCGCGGUAAUACGGAGGAUGCGAGCGUUAUCCGGAUGUAUUGGGUUUAAAGGGUGCGUAGGCGGAAUGCCAAGUCAGCGGUAAAAUCGCGGGGCUCAAACUCGGUCCGCCGUUGAAAAUGGCGUUCUUGAGUGGGCGAGAGGUAUGCGGAAUGCGUGGUGUAGCGGUGAAACGCAUAGAUAUCACGCAGAACUCCGAUUGCGAAGGCAGCAUACCGGCGCCCAACUGACGCUGAAGCACGAAAGCGUGGGUAUCGAACAGGAUUAGAUACCCUGGUAGUC
RNAcentral lists this ribosomal RNA (460 nucleotides) under uncultured bacterium. Its description in RNAcentral is "partial 16S ribosomal RNA". It matches the Rfam family "Bacterial small subunit ribosomal RNA", at positions 338 to 795 of the family's 1533-position model. The record is from RNAcentral.